This 70-nucleotide transfer RNA is filed under the name Ganaspini sp. ZJUH 20220007. Its description in RNAcentral is "tRNA-Ile". Lineage: Eukaryota; Metazoa; Arthropoda; Insecta; Hymenoptera; Figitidae. The record is from RNAcentral.
AAUGAUAUGCCUGAGGAUUAAAAGGGUUAUUAUGAUAUAAUAAAUUAUGUAAUUGUAAUUACUGUCAUUA